CGACCGCAAGGUUGAAACUCAAAGGAAUUGACGGGGGCCCGCACAAGCAGUGGAGUAUGUGGUUUAAUUCGACGCAACGCGAAGAACCUUACCAAGUCUUGACAUCCCUUGACGAUGCUGGAAACAGUAUUUCUCUUCGGAGCAAGGAGACAGGUGGUGCAUGGUUGUCGUCAGCUCGUGUCGUGAGAUGUUGGGUUAAGUCCCGCAACGAGCGCAACCCUUAUGGUCAGUUACUACGCAAGAGGACUCUGGCCA
RNAcentral lists this ribosomal RNA (255 nucleotides) under Faecalibacterium prausnitzii. RNAcentral describes it as "partial 16S ribosomal RNA". It matches the Rfam family "Bacterial small subunit ribosomal RNA", at positions 883 to 1146 of the family's 1533-position model. The record is from RNAcentral. Lineage: Bacteria; Bacillati; Bacillota; Clostridia; Eubacteriales; Oscillospiraceae.